This 450-nucleotide ribosomal RNA is filed under the name Prevotella sp. oral taxon 306. Its description in RNAcentral is "bacterial SSU rRNA". It matches the Rfam family "Bacterial small subunit ribosomal RNA", at positions 28 to 466 of the family's 1533-position model. The record is from RNAcentral. Lineage: Bacteria; Pseudomonadati; Bacteroidota; Bacteroidia; Bacteroidales; Prevotellaceae.
GAUGAACGCUAGCUACAGGCUUAACACAUGCAAGUCGAGGGGAAACGGCAUUUAGUGCUUGCACCGAAUGGACGUCGACCGGCGCACGGGUGAGUAACGCGUAUCCAACCUUCCCAUAACUAAGGGAUAACCUGCCGAAAGGCAGACUAAUACCUUAUGUAAUCCUUUGAUGGCAUCAGAUAAGGAUAAAAGAUUUAUCGGUUAUGGAUGGGGAUGCGUCUGAUUAGCUUGUUGGCGGGGUAACGGCCCACCAAGGCAACGAUCAGUAGGGGUUCUGAGAGGAAGGUCCCCCACAUUGGAACUGAGACACGGUCCAAACUCCUACGGGAGGCAGCAGUGAGGAAUAUUGGUCAAUGGACGGAAGUCUGAACCAGCCAAGUAGCGUGCAGGAUGACGGCCCUAUGGGUUGUAAACUGCUUUUGUAUGGGGAUAAAGUCAAUCACGUGUGUU